Molecule: long non-coding RNA, 324 nt
Organism: Homo sapiens (human)
Lineage: Eukaryota; Metazoa; Chordata; Mammalia; Primates; Hominidae
Source: Ensembl
AUUCUUUCUGUAACCUCAAGAUGGUAUAAAAUCAUCAACCAUCUGGCUAUCUCUUUGACUUCCUAUAUUUUUUUGACUCCCUUGCAUAUUAGUUCUUCUACUAAUCUGCCUUUUUUCAGUUGGUUUUUCAGCAGACCUGCAGAGGGCACAGGGGAAGUGUUCCUUUGGCCCCUGCAGCACCACAGGACCCCAGGUCCUGUCUGUGGUCGUGGUGGUAACGGGUGCCAGCCUGGACCAGUCCUGCAUCGUGGAGCUUCACUCUGGACAUUCUAAGGGGCAGACUGUGGCUGGGGCGUGAGGGAUAAUAAAGGUGGUGUGACCGAA